AGCGAACGCUGGCGGCAUGCUUAACACAUGCAAGUCGCACGGGCAGCAAUGUCAGUGGCGGACGGGUGAGUAACGCGUAGGAACGUGUCCUGAGGUGGGGGACAACCCCGGGAAACUGGGGCUAAUACCGCAUAUGGGCUGAGGCCCAAAGCCGAGAGGCGCCUUUGGAGCGGCCUGCGUCCGAUUAGGUAGUUGGUGGGGUAAAGGCCUACCAAGCCUGCGAUCGGUAGCUGGUCUGAGAGGACGACCAGCCACACUGCGACUGAGACACGGCCCAGACUCCUACGGGAGGCAGCAGUGGGGAAUAUUGGACAAUGGGCGAAAGCCUGAUCCAGCAAUGCCGCGUGGGUGAAGAAGGUCUUCGGAUCGUAAAGCCCUUUCGACGGGGACGAUGAUGACGGUACCCGUAGAAGAAGCCCCGGCUAACUUCGUG
RNAcentral lists this ribosomal RNA (433 nucleotides) under uncultured bacterium. RNAcentral describes it as "partial 16S ribosomal RNA". It matches the Rfam family "Bacterial small subunit ribosomal RNA", at positions 30 to 507 of the family's 1533-position model. The record is from RNAcentral.